RNAcentral lists this ribosomal RNA (253 nucleotides) under uncultured bacterium. RNAcentral describes it as "partial 16S ribosomal RNA". It matches the Rfam family "Bacterial small subunit ribosomal RNA", at positions 524 to 776 of the family's 1533-position model. The record is from RNAcentral.
UACGUAGGGUGCGAGCGUUGCCCGGAUUUAUUGGGCGUAAAGAGCGUGUAGGCGGCUCGGUAAGUCCGCUGUGAAAGUCGGGGGCUCAACCCUCGAAUGCCGGUGGAUACUGUCGAGCUAGAGUGCGGAAGAGGCGAGUGGAAUUCCUGGUGUAGCGGUGAAAUGCGCAGAUAUCAGGAGGAACACCGAUUGCGAAGGCAGCUCGCUGGGACGUUACUGACGCUGAGACGCGAAAGCGUGGGGAGCAAACAGG